Erpetoichthys calabaricus (reedfish) is the source of this 1011-nucleotide long non-coding RNA. RefSeq lists it as uncharacterized. The record is from RefSeq and is a predicted model, not a curated record. NCBI's taxonomy places the organism in Eukaryota, Metazoa, Chordata, Cladistia, Polypteriformes, Polypteridae. The transcript has 3 exons.
CUUUGCGACACGAGUCCCCAUCCGAUUUGUCUCGCGCACGCGCUCUCUGCUUAAUUAAAAUUCAUUUCACGACGCUGUCCGAUUUGUUCUGCGCAUGUCCAAUGUUUUACGACACACGAGAAAAAAAGUUACCACGGGAUUUUAAUUUCCCGGUCUGCAUUAACAAAUAGAACUUUCGCCAUUCGAGUGAGAAGGAGAAAGAAGAAAGCUGUAGAGAAUAGGAGCAUAUUGAAUUUUUCUCCUGGUAGCAGAAUAAUUUUCACUUCUUGAAAAAAUGAAGACUUUUCAAUUUUACAACGACUUGAAAGAAUAUCUUUUACGGGAAGAAUUUAGCAACAAUUUAACGGUCAGAGAGCGAAGUGAAAUACGACGUGUGUCCGUGAAUUUUAUGAUUAAAGUCCAUCACCCAUGCCCUGGCUGCUCUACAGGGUGUAUCAGGACAGGAGGCAGAAGACUUAUUUCUUGGUGGCCCAGAAUACAGUAUCAGUGAAGUGGAAGAAUUUAACUGAAAGAUAGGGCAGCAAUUAAAGAAGGAGGGAAUGCUGUGAUAUCUGUUAGAAUAGAAGAUGAUGCUACUGCCCAGUGCUUCCAGAAUCCUUCAUUUGAGUCUUGGGUCUGAAUCUACUGCGUCAUUGCCAAGUAUUCUGGGGUAAUGUAUCUUGUUUUGUUUACAUUUUGUUUUUCUCCAUAUUCCAAGCUCAUUUACUUGACCUUAGCUUUAAUAAACUGGAUGGCUGUCUCCUUCACAAUUGAUUUUAAAGUACUAUACUAUUCAUUACAUAAAAAGCUCUGAACAGUUUAGUCCCUUCCUGUAUUUGGUACUGUCUCUCCCCCAACACUCCUCAGUGUAAUCUUUAAUCCCCAACCACUAAUUUGCUUAUGAAAGAACUGGUGAAGCAGCUUGCACAUGUACACCAAAAAUAUAGAAUGCCGGCUAUAAAUGAAAAACCUUUCAAAUACUUUUAAAACUCCAUUUUUAAACUUCACCUCUGCUUAAUUCCCAUUUCUAUC